Molecule: long non-coding RNA, 1070 nt
Organism: Brassica napus (rape)
Lineage: Eukaryota; Viridiplantae; Streptophyta; Magnoliopsida; Brassicales; Brassicaceae
Exons: 6
Source: RefSeq, a predicted model, not a curated record
AAAAUUGUAAUAGACAUACCGAUUGUAGACCUACUUGUGUGUCUACGGAACCGGAAACAAUUUAAUUUAACCAAAAUAAUAUAAUCUAACAAGUAUUAAACCAGAAAAGUUUUAACCUAACCGGAUAACUUUCCCGACAUAUAAAUACAAUUUUUAGUCUUCAUUUGGUAAAAAAAGACAAACCCUAGCGGCCGUUACUCUCUCUCUCUCUCUCUCUCUCGGGCGAUUUCCGGUGAAGUCAACCCGUUUCUGCCGCUUACACUGGUUGCCGUCCCGCUGCUGCUGCUAUAUCUUCCCUCUGUAAGAUCUGAGCCGGCGAAGGAACAUUGUGUAUGUAUGUCUCUCUAUCCAACUGUUGAGCUUUUGAAGGGCUUGAGAAAGAAGAGGGCCACCUCAAAACAACUAAUCACAACAAUAUUGUAACUUCAGCUCGUUCAACUUCUCUACUCUUUUCAAGAGAAAUCAUGAGUAGGCUAUAAGCAAUCUAGCUAGAGUAGUGAUGAUUCUUCUGCCAUAACCGGCAUUGACAGCUUGCUGGCAAGUGAGGUGCCUAUCGGUUAUCAGGCUGGGACUUUCACUUUAGAGGACUGACCUACAGUCCUGGCAUGGCUCGGUCUAGGCGUUUAAGAGAGAUUCUCCACCGGUUGUAGACUUCAAUAGCGAUCUUGAAACUCUCUGAGACGAGAAAAUUGCAAGAAGGCGGAAGCUUUGUAUCCACUGUCAAUACUGUAUCACAACCAACUGUUACGGACAUUGCAGCAUCAGUAUGUCUAUGGAGUUCUUGUAUUUUAAGCCAUGGCCACAUUCAUUGGCCAAGUCUAUGUUCUAUCGUUGAUUGCACUCUUUGUGGCCGCUUCAACUGCCCUGAUUGUGCAACCAUUUUUUGGCUAGAAUUGGAGGAUAUGAAGUUUUUGGUAAUAGGUGUUUGUAUUAUAUGCCUUUGUACUAGCUAUAUUGUAUUGUGCUUUUGUAUCACUGCUGUAUUAUGUAAUUUUCUUGGAUAUUCUGUACUGAAGUGUACUCGACCGAAAGUAGACUUGUUUAAUACAACUCCAAAUGAAUACAUCAAA